AGAAUGACUCUCGGCGACGGAUAUCUAGGCUCUUGCAUCGAUGAAGAACGUAGCGAAAUGCGAUACUUGGUGUGAAUUGCAGAAUCCCGUGAACCAUCGAGUCUUUGAACGCAAGUUGCGCCCGAUGCCAUUAGGUUGAGGGCACGUCUGCCUGGGUGUCACAU
RNAcentral lists this ribosomal RNA (164 nucleotides) under Vicia barbazitae. Its description in RNAcentral is "5.8S ribosomal RNA". It matches the Rfam family "5.8S ribosomal RNA". From Rfam's summary of the family: 5.8S ribosomal RNA (5.8S rRNA) is a component of the large subunit of the eukaryotic ribosome. Lineage: Eukaryota; Viridiplantae; Streptophyta; Magnoliopsida; Fabales; Fabaceae. The record is from RNAcentral.